Long non-coding RNA from Hydractinia symbiolongicarpus, 1541 nucleotides. RefSeq lists it as uncharacterized. The transcript is spliced from 2 exons. The record is from RefSeq and is a predicted model, not a curated record. NCBI's taxonomy places the organism in Eukaryota, Metazoa, Cnidaria, Hydrozoa, Anthoathecata, Hydractiniidae.
AAUGUUUGCAAACAUUUCAUGCAAAGAGAGUUUUAUUGCCCUGGCUGUUGGUUGAAGAGCGUGUAGACACAUUUCUACUCUACUUCAAAACAACAUGUAUUUAUUAAAUUUUAAUAUCCUAAGUAAAAAUGUCAUAUGUCUACAAGCUCUUCUUGACAACCUGCACCACGAGAAGGUAGCCAAUGGGACUAAGCAGGUCAUACCUAAAAUAAAGGACAGAUUUAUGUUGCAAUUAACAUUUUAAGUAAAAAAGAGUUACCCCAUUUUGGUGAUGUAAUUGUUUACUUGAUGUUGCAUAACUUACAGUAACUGAGGUGUGAUGGCUGGUAGGUUGAUUGUUGUAAGUCAUUAUGGUAGGGUGAUUGGGCUGUGAUGAUCGGUAGGGUACGGAUGAGACUGAAUAAUGCUGUAACGUUAAAGCACCUUGUUUAGGUUGCAUAUGGUGCGAUAAGGUAAUAAGCAGCAUAAUGUUGUAAUAGUAAUGCACCUUGUUCAGGUUUUGAAAUUGGAUUAUGUUAAUACACAAUUUUUUUCAAUAAGCAACUCAUUUUUUAAGCAACUGAACUGGAUUUGAAAUGUUUUAAGCAAUUUUAGUUCUGGACAAAUAUAAGCACAAGCAAGAAUAAUUUUUUUUGCACACUUCAGUUUAUUUUUAAGAAAUAUCUUUUUUACCAAAAUAUGACUUAGUUUCUUUUUCCCGUUUAUUAUAUAUAUGUUUAACAAAAAUAAGACUUAGAUAUUGACUAAAAAAUAACAUGAGAUCUGACCAAAAUCCAAUUUGCUUAUAAAAAAAAUUGUGCAAUCAGCUCAAUGCUGUAAUGCACCUUGUUCAGGUUGCAUGUGCACCUUGUUCAGGCUGCAAUUGGCCUACAACGCCAUUAAUAAUCAGCACAAAGCUGUAAUGUUAAUGUACCUUGUUUAAGUAAUUGUGAUAUAAUGGGUACAGACAAUAUGUUGAAUCUGGUAAGUAGAAAGGGUAUGGUAAUUGUGGUACAAUGAUCGGUAUGGUAAAACGAUAUGUUGAUUGGGAUAAGUCGAAACGGUAUGGUAAUUGUGGUAUAAUGGGUGCAGGCGAUAUGUUGAAUCUGGUAAAUCGAAAGGGUAUGGUAAUUGUGUUAUGAUGAUCGGUAAGGUACAGACGAUACGUUGAUUGCGAUAAGUGAAAACGGUAUGGUAAUUGUGGUAUGAUGGGUACUGACGAUUUAUGUUGAAUCCUUUAGGUCGAAAUGGUAAUUGUGGUAUGAUGAUCGGUACGGUAAGGCAAUAUGUUGAUUGCAAAAAGUCGAAAUUGUAUGGUAAUUGUGUUAUGAUGACCAAUAAGGUAAAGACGAGAUUUUGAUUGCGAUAAGUCAAAACAGCACGGUAAUCGUGGUAUGACAGGGACGGUACAGACAAUAUGUUGAUUGCGAUAAGGCUGUAUGUAUGGUAAGGUUUUGAAUUUAAACCUUUAUGUUAAUACACAUUCUUUUUAUAAGCAACUAAACUGAAUUUUAAAAAAAUUUAGUUUUGUACAAAUAAAAGCAUAAGCAAAAAUUUUUUUU